UCAUGUGACGGCUGCGGCCUUGUUGCAUAUGGCCUUCUAUUCUCUCCUUGUGAUUAGAUGUGCAUGGAUCGGAUCCUUGGGGUGACGUGCACGUUUAGUCGUCAAGUAAUGAACCCCGGCGCAAGCUGUGCCAAGGAAAAUUGAACAAGAGUGCAUGUCUUCAACCACCUGUUUGCGGGAAGUGUUGGCAUAUGCAAUCUUUUGUAUAAUUGAACGACUCUCGGCAACGGAUAUCUCGGCUCUUGCAUCGAUGAAGAACGUAGCGAAAUGCGAUACUUGGUGUGAAUUGCAGAAUCCCGUGAACCAUCGAGUCUUUGAACGCAAGUUGCGCCUGAAGCCAGUAGGCUGAAGGCACGUCUGCUUGGGCGUCAUGAAUUGUGUUACCCGCUCCCCUGUGCCUAAGCGUGCAUGUUGGGAUGKGGGAGRAUGUUGGCCCCCCGUUCGCUCUUGGUGGUCGGUUGGCCCAAAAGGGAGUUCCCCGAUGACGGACAUCACGACAAGUGGUGKUUGCAGAAAUCGUCGCUUCAUGUUUGUGGA
This 537-nucleotide ribosomal RNA is filed under the name Styphelia xerophylla. Its description in RNAcentral is "eukaryotic LSU rRNA". The stretch from base 216 to 371 matches the Rfam family "5.8S ribosomal RNA". Lineage: Eukaryota; Viridiplantae; Streptophyta; Magnoliopsida; Ericales; Ericaceae. The record is from RNAcentral.